This 2753-nucleotide long non-coding RNA is filed under the name Triticum aestivum (bread wheat). Its description in RNAcentral is "long non-coding RNA (TAES_LNC009860)". Lineage: Eukaryota; Viridiplantae; Streptophyta; Magnoliopsida; Poales; Poaceae. The record is from RNAcentral.
UUUACAGAAAUAAAUAGGAACUCCUUGCUUCUCAAAACUCAAGUGAUACCACAGUUUUACCUUCUUUCUAGCCAUCCUUAAAGUUAAAAUCCAUCCAGGCCAUGCAUAGUGGAAAUUCUGAGAGGGACAUGGUGAUGAACGUACAUAUUAAGAUCCCCGUCAUCCCAUUCUUCCACUUUACUUACCUGUCAUAGAUAAUAAAGUUUUACAUGCCACAUCUUACAUGCAUAUAACCGAACAUACAUACUAUAUGAGCUAGUAAUGUCUAGAACAGAGAGAGAAAUGCAGAUUUAAAAAAUGGAAACUGUUGUACUGACAUAUUCAAUGCCCAAACACUAAAUAGCACUGUACGAACAUCAACUAAAUUUAAGAAUACAAAUGUAGCUCUCGUUUUUGAGAACCACGUAUAAAUGUCCUCUCGUAGGAUAUCAAGCUAUAGGUGAAUACACAUAAGACAUAUAGACAAGCACCCGAAGCAACAACGAAUACAAUUAAGAAUACUCUUCACAAGGCGUUUGGGAAUAACUAUAAUCCCACUAUUCUGUAGAAAAAAUUCAAAAGCAUAGAUGAACUAAAACAUUCAGAUGGAGGUUGAAUCGAUUAGGAGCAGCUGCAAAGUUCCAUAACAACACCACUUUACACCACUCUGGCAACACCCACACUACAGUUAUCAGAAAUCCGAGUGACAACCACUUAGAAACAAACAAUAAUACAUAAAUGAAUCCACAGAAAGAAAUAAGUUAAAUCAAAAUGUAUACCAAGAGUAUUCAAUUGAUGAUGGGAAUCAAGCUUGCAAGAAUGUUGUUAUCUGCAAGAAAAAUCACCAUGAUUAAACGAAGUAGGAUGCCAACAUGGAAAAAGAGCGAUUGAGAGUGUGUAGCAUUCAUGCACUACAUUACCGUUCAGAGUAAACGCGCACAGGUUUGUGUCAAUUAUUGUCAAUUCGUGUUGGACAGUAGAGGCUGAACCAUAUACUUCCAUAAACACAAAAUUAAGGAACUGGACUAUUUUGUGUUGUCCAUCCAUAUUCCAUUAUGGCAACUCGGAUCUGCAUCUAUAUAUGACACGUAAUUACUAAUAGGGUGUGUCUAGUGUACAUCUAGAUGUGCUCUAAUUAUUGCACAUUUAAGUGAGUGAAUCAAGCAUAAAGAUGAAAAAGAAAAAGAAAAAGGAAAAUAUCCACACGAAUCUCGAUGUAAAAUCAAUGAUAUAGGACUUAGAUGUGCAAUACUUAUGGCACAUCUAGAUGUGCUUUAGCAAAACUGUUACUAAUAUUAGUUUUUCUUCCUUGGAUAAAUCUUGUCAUCAAACUGUAAAGAUUGACAUGCAUCCAACCACACGUAUAAAACUUACUAUCUUGUAAAUCAAUAUCAAAGCAGAUGGAAAACAAACGACAACGGAACAUGCAUCAUGGUGAAACCUCCAUACUACAAUAUCAAACACGAAUUCAGAUUAACAAUCUAAUCAAGAAAAUAUGAGAGAUGCAGUCCUGGUCAGUUUUUGUUUUGUGGCAUCCCCUCAAAAAAAUAAAAAUAAAAUGAUGUUCUUAUUUUAGCAAGGAUACACUGAGCUGGGACGAUUCAGUCUGAAAUAAAAUAUGAUGGCUACAUAGGAUUCGGAAGGCAAGAAAUUUGCUUCCUUCCAACAGACAUGGUCUACUGAACUGAACUUCAUUUCAGCUAGCUUUGGUAAAAAUCUGUAACUGAAUUUGUGGUGUUGUCGAGCGACUUGCAGCUCAGAGAGGACUGCAGACAUCAAAACUCGUAUGCCCAUCCCACAUCAAAUUUUUUUUUUAAAAAGGGCAACUUGGUGCAUGUAGCUCCCGCUUGCGCAGGGUCCAGGGAAGGGUCCGACCAAAAUAAAUAUUAAACCCGCCAAAAUAAAUAUUUCAGUUUAGGCUAUGAUCAUUGUACUUUCUGAGUGUUAGGUGUAGUUUCUAAAUAGCAGAGAAACCAUACCAUCUAAGCACAACCCAGUAGCUUGUACAAACUAACAUCAAAUCUGAAAGAGGAAACUGUCGACAACAGAUGAAGGUACCAUGGUCUAUAAUCCAUGAAAGAGGAAGAGACAAAGAACCAGGGCAGGGUAACAGCUCACCAACAAAAAGGCCAUCGGGACAAGCCUGUAACGGCGGGAUGGUGUCGAUGACAAAGGGACAACAUGUGGUUCUCCUUGCUCUUCACCUCUCUCACUCUCUCUCUCUCUCUCUCUCUCUCUCACACACACACACACACACACACACACACACACACACAUGUCCUUCUCCCAACACUUUUCUCCUUCAGCAUUUAUACAAACAGGUAGUGCUCGCAUCUGCAACAUCAAAGCCAGAAUGCAAUUUGGUAACAUAUGUGCACAACUGCAGCUACCUAUGCACAGUAAUUCUUGCAAUGCAACCCACUCAAGCAAGAAAGAGGAGCCAGAAAAGGAGGGGGCAUGUUACUCACUGUCUGUUUCCCCAUCCCUCACAGACACAAAUUGUCCUCCUCUGAGCAGUCUUCUUGAGCAUUUAUACAAACAAGCAGUGCUGGCAUCUACAAGCUCAAAGCCAAAAUAAAAUUUGAGAUAGUAAUUGCAUAGCUGCAGCCACCUCUGAACAAUAAUUUUUGCAACCCAAUCCAAUCAAGAAACAAAUAGAGGAGCUAGAGGUGGAGGCGACCAUGUUACGUACCUCGGCAGGCAAGCUCGUAGGAGAUUCUGAUGGAGGUCAUAAGCAGCCGGAUGAACUGUCCGAGCGCGAGACCCACGACCAC